UAGCGCACGGGUGAGUAACACGUAGAUAAUCUACCUUCGAUUUUGGGAUAACCAUCCGAAAGGAUGGCUAAUACCGGAUAAAGUUGACACAUGAGAAUGUAUUAAUGAAAGAUAGCCAAUGCUUGCAAGCUAUUGAUUGGAGAUGAGUCUGCGGACCAUUAGCUAGUUGGUGGGGUAAGAGCCUACCAAGGCUACGAUGGUUAGCUGGUCUGAGAGGAUGAUCAGUCACACUGGAACUGGAACACGGUCCAGACUCCUACGGGAGGCAGCAGUGAGGAAUUUUGCGCAAUGGGGGAAACCCUGACGCAGCAACGCCGCGUGAGUGAAGAAGGCCUUUGGGUCGUAAAGCUCUGUCAACUGGGAAGAAGUUGUAGUUAUCCAAUAGGCAACUACAUUGACGGUACCAGUGGAGGAAGCGCCGGCUAACUCCGUGCCAGCAGCCGCGGUAACACGGGGGGCGCAAGCGUUAUUCGGAAUUAUUGGGCGUAAAGGGCGUGUAGGCGGUCUUAUCGGUCAGAUGUGAAAGCCCAGGGCUCAACCCUGGACGUGCAUUUGAAACAGUAAGACUUGAGUACUGGAGAGGAAAGCGGAAUUCCUGGUGUAGAGGUGAAAUUCGUAGAUAUCAGGAGGAACACCGAUGGCGAAGGCAGCUUUCUGGACAGAAACUGACGCUGAUGCGCGAAGGCGUGGGUAGCGAACAGGAUUAGAUACCCUGGUAGUCCACGCAGUAAACGAUGUACACUAGGUGUAGG
This 752-nucleotide ribosomal RNA is filed under the name uncultured bacterium. RNAcentral describes it as "bacterial SSU rRNA". It matches the Rfam family "Bacterial small subunit ribosomal RNA", at positions 96 to 826 of the family's 1533-position model. The record is from RNAcentral.